UAAUGCCUAGGAAUCUGCCUGGUAGUGGGGGAUAACGUCCGGAAACGGACGCUAAUACCGCAUACGUCCUACGGGAGAAAGCAGGGGACCUUCGGGCCUUGCGCUAUCAGAUGAGCCUAGGUCGGAUUAGCUAGUUGGUGGGGUAAUGGCUCACCAAGGCGACGAUCCGUGACUGGUCUGAGAGGAUGAUCAGUCACACUGGAACUGAGACACGGUCCAGACUCCUACGGGAGGCAGCAGUGGGGAAUAUUGGACAAUGGGCGAAAGCCUGAUCCAGCCAUGCCGCGUGUGUGAAGAAGGUCUUCGGAUUGUAAAGCACUUUAAGUUGGGAGGAAGGGCAGUAAAUUAAUACUUUGCUGUUUUGACGUUACCGACAGAAUAAGCACCGGCUAACUCUGUGCCAGCAGCCGCGGUAAUACAGAGGGUGCAAGCGUUAAUCGGAAUUACUGGGCGUAAAGCGCGCGUAGGUGGUUCGUUAAGUUGGAUGUGAAAUCCCCGGGCUCAACCUGGGAACUGCAUUCAAAACUGACGAGCUAGAGUAUGGUAGAGGGUGGUGGAAUUUCCUGUGUAGCGGUGAAAUGCGUAGAUAUAGGAAGGAACACCAGUGGCGAA
This 612-nucleotide ribosomal RNA is filed under the name uncultured bacterium. Its description in RNAcentral is "bacterial SSU rRNA". It matches the Rfam family "Bacterial small subunit ribosomal RNA", at positions 111 to 719 of the family's 1533-position model. The record is from RNAcentral.